Molecule: ribosomal RNA, 442 nt
Filed under: uncultured bacterium
Lineage: Bacteria
Description: partial 16S ribosomal RNA
Rfam family: Bacterial small subunit ribosomal RNA
Source: RNAcentral
CCUACGGGUGGCAGCAGUGGGGAAUAUUGGGCAAUGGGCGCAAGCCUGACCCAGCAAUGCCGCGUGAAGGAAGAAGGCUUUCGGGUUGUAAACUUCUUUGUCUGGGGAAGAGCAGCAGAUGGUACCCUGAAAACAAGCCACGGCUAACUACGAGCCAUCAGCCGCGGCCAUACGUAGGUGGCCAGCGUUGUCCGGAUUUCCUGGGUGUAAAGGGCGUGUAGCCGGGAAGGCAAGUCAGAUGUGAAAGCUGGAGGCUCAACCUCCAAAUUGCAUUUGAAACUGUUUUUCUUGAGUACUGUAGAGGCAGACGGAAUUCCUUGUGUAGCGGUGAAAUGCGUAGAUAUAAGGAGGAACACCAGUGGCGAAGGCGGUCUGCUAGACAGCAACUGACGGUGAGGCGCGAAAGCGUGGGGAGCAAACAGGAUUAGAUACCCGAGUAGUC